UAAAAGGGCGUUUGUCACUUACAUGACAUGCAAUCUACUGGGUCUUCGGGUCCAGGGUUUGUAGGGUAUGGCCAUCAAGACAUACUCAACGUAUAAUAUUUGGAAACGUGGGGCAGUUGGCUAUAUUACUGUAAAUUUCUAU
This 142-nucleotide small nuclear RNA is filed under the name Nilaparvata lugens (brown planthopper). RNAcentral's name for it is "U11 spliceosomal RNA". It matches the Rfam family "U11 spliceosomal RNA". The record is from RNAcentral. Lineage: Eukaryota; Metazoa; Arthropoda; Insecta; Hemiptera; Delphacidae.